This 2483-nucleotide long non-coding RNA is filed under the name Stegodyphus dumicola. Its description in RNAcentral is "uncharacterized LOC118191856, transcript variant X2". The stretch from base 540 to 610 matches the Rfam family "tRNA". The record is from RNAcentral. Lineage: Eukaryota; Metazoa; Arthropoda; Arachnida; Araneae; Eresidae.
UGUGCCUUGCGGAUGAGAGCUCGUGUUCUACGUCACGUAAUCUACUCGUAGUAUUGUGCAUUUUUAAAGUACAGUGUACUUACUUACCUUUGGGUAAGGUUAGUAUUGAAAGAAAAAAUAAGUAGGACAAAAAGUGAAAAAGAUAACGUUUGCAAUGCUGGUUAUUAAAUUAAUAACAUCUAUUCAUUUCAAGCAUAAAUUAAAAUUAGGAAUAGGAAUAUUCGUUUUAGUUGAAGAGGGCUUAUUCGAAAUAAUAUGACUAAUAGAGCAAUGUAAUAAAAUGGUCAUUAGACAAAUUGAUAAUCAACAAAUGUAACGAAAGAGCCCGACUGACCGGUGAGGAGCUACUACAAUUCGUGAAGAAGACAGUUUCCGAUAAUUUUUCUAUGAGGCUGCAAACGUUAUCAAACAUUUGUUUCAUUGCGAAAGUUUUCUCCGAAAAUUUGGGACCGUAAAAAUCGACAAACUAUUGUUGAUGCCAAUGAUACCAAAAACAAUUAUGGUAACCCUAACGCAAAAAAGGAAACUUAAUAGUACAUGUCUUCGUGGUGUAAUGGUAGCACACUCGGCGCGUAUUCGAGAGGUCCAUGUUCGAGUCCCGGCGAGGGCAUUGCUCAUUUUUCAUGUUGUAGUGAAUAAUUCCAUUACCAUCAGAGAGCAUUCAUUCCAGAGAUGCAUAGCAUCCUGAGAAGGCAGAUCUCCUCAACUGCUUAAGGAAAGGGACAGAAAAUAGCCAAAUCUGGUUUUCUGCCGUGUUUGGCAGCCCAAAAUGUUCUUAACAGGAAUCUAGGCCGUGUAUGCGGCACUUCCCUCAGCAAAAGCUCCCUGAAUACAGGAUCUCAACGAAUUCAGGCUAGCUUAGCUGUGGAGAAUUGUUUCAGAAGUGUAUGAGCGGGACUGUUCACGUUUCCAAAAUAAAGCAUGGAGCUAGACUGAGGACUCUUUGGACCACAGUAUCGUGGAAGUCUCUCGGAUCAAGACCAUCAAGAACUCAUUGUUCUUAAUGGUCAUAUAACUCUAAAAAAACUAUUGAUUCACCAUUUUCUUAUUUCUAGGCUAGCUUAGCUGUGGAGAAUUGUUUCAGAAGUGUAUGAGCGGGACUGUUCACGUUUCCAAAAUAAAGCAUGGAGCUAGACUGAGGACUGUUUGGACCACAGUAUCGUGGAAGUCUCUCGGAUCAAGACCAUCAGGAACUGAUUGUUCUUAAUGGUCAUAUAACUCUAAAAAAACUAUUGAUUCACCAUUUUCUUAUUUCUAGGCUAGCUUAGCUGUGGAGAAUUGUUUCAGAAGUGUAUGAGCGGGACUGUUCACGUUUCCAAAAUAAAGCAUGGAGCUAGACUGAGGACUCUUUGGACCACAGUAUCGUGGAAGUCUCUCGGAUCAAUACCAUCAGGAACUGAUUGUUCUUAAUGGUCAUAUAACUCUAAAAAAACUAUUGAUUCACCAUUUUCUUAUUUCUAAGCUAGCUUAGCUGUGAAGAAAUUUUUCAGAAGUGUAUGAGUGGGACUGUUCACGUUUCCAAUAUAAAGCAUGAAGCUAGACUGAGGACUGUUUGGAUUACAGUAUCGUGGAAGUCUCUCGGAUCAAGACCAUCAAGGACUGAUUAUUCUUGCUGGUUGAUUAACUGAUUGUUAUGGUUACUCUUAAAAAACUAAUGACAUGUUAAGAGCUGAGUUUCCCAACGAGGCCGAAGCGAUCGAUGCUUUGGGCAUAGAUAAAAUUUUGAAAAGGAUCAAUGAGAUAAAGUGUCGAUUGCAGAACAUGCACCAGCGAGUGAUCGACAUACUCAGUAUUCCACUAAUUAUCAGAAAAAUUAUUAAUAAACUUGAUAAUAAAUUAUUUACAAAAUUAGGCAAAGCAACAACUUUGUGUCUGACGUAGAUUUUACUCAAGACUGUCUCUAUUUUGAGAGCACACAGUGCAGGUCCCUUUUCAUAAGGAUCACAGAAACCUGCAACGAAGGCUUAAGGUCAAGUCCUGCUCAUAUGCUGUGAAUAUAGAUGCUACUUGCACGACGUUUUCCUGCUAUUUGAAAUUAAUUCUCUUUGGACGCUUGACUGUGGAAAUCUGUCACGUGAGCCUGAAACGGGUGAGGAUUGGAGGUACGAGGUGCAACGGUUGUAUUGAUACCCAAAAGAAGUAAAGCUAAUGAAAAAGUAGCGCCAUCUGUCAGGAGAAAUAAUAAUGAAAAUUGAAAAAUUAAAUUAAUAGAAAUUUAAAAGCGUUAAGCAGUACUGGGUUGGAAUUAAAGUCAUUAACUAAGCAAGAUAAAUCUUCGUGAAUGUGAAAAGAUUUAAGAGAAUCCAAUUCACUAAUGGAAGAAGCUUUUUUGAUAAUAUCUGCAGAUCCAAAGUCAAAAUUGUGAUUAAAUUUCCAACUAUGAUUAGCUGUCGAAGACUUUGUUAUUCUGUCUGAAUUAAUUGUUUAUUGAUAUAAAGUUGUAUCAUGUAAUAAGGAAGAAGUCAAAUAAAAUAAAUAGAGGG